Molecule: small RNA, 776 nt
Filed under: Pongo abelii (Sumatran orangutan)
Lineage: Eukaryota; Metazoa; Chordata; Mammalia; Primates; Hominidae
Description: processed transcript
Source: RNAcentral
GAACUUUGGUGCAGCCUGGUGCGCAACGUGGGGACUCAGGCGCGCUGGGCGGCGGGAGUUGCUUCCGGUCGUGUUGGUGGUCUGAAUUGAGAGGCCGCGGCUAAGGAAAGAUGGAGACAAUACUGGAGCAGCAGCGGCGCUAUCAUGAGGAGAAGGAACGGCUCAUGGACGUCAUGGCUAAAGAGAUGCUCACUAAGAAGUCCACGCUCCGGGACCAGAUCAAUUCUGAUCACCGCACUCGGGCCAUGCAAGAUAUCUGUGUGCCAAUGUCAGUGGAAUUUGAGGAACUCCUGAAGGCUCGAGAGAAUCCGAGUGAAGAGGCACAAAACUUGGUGGAGUUCACAGAUGAAGAGGGAUAUGGUCGUUAUCUCGAUCUCCAUGACUGUUACCUCAAGUACAUUAACCUGAAGGCAUCUGAGAAGCUGGAUUAUAUCACAUACCUGUCCAUCUUUGACCAAUUAUUUGACAUUCCUAAAGAAAGGAAGAAUGCAGAAUAUAAGAGAUACCUAGAGAUGCUGCUUGAGUACCUUCAGGAUUACACAGAUAGAGUGAAGCCUCUCCAAGAUCAGAAUGAACUUUUUGGGAAGAUUCAGGCUGAGUUUGAGAAGAAAUGGGAGAAUGGGACCUUUCCUGGAUGGCCGAAAGAGACAAGCAGUGCCCUGACCCAUGCUGGAGCCCAUCUUGACCUCUCUGCAUUCUCCUCCUGGGAGGAGUUGGCCUCUCUGGGUUUGGACAGAUUGAAAUCUGCUCUUUUAGCUUUAGGCUUGAAAUGUGGC